RNAcentral lists this microRNA precursor (78 nucleotides) under Xyrichtys novacula (pearly razorfish). Lineage: Eukaryota; Metazoa; Chordata; Actinopteri; Labriformes; Labridae. The record is from RNAcentral.
UAUUGAAACAAAUCUUAAGUGUGUUACUUUCAUCUAUUGAAUAGAUGAAAGUAACACACUUAAGAUUUGUUCAGUUUA